This 228-nucleotide ribosomal RNA is filed under the name uncultured bacterium. RNAcentral describes it as "partial 16S ribosomal RNA". It matches the Rfam family "Bacterial small subunit ribosomal RNA", at positions 568 to 795 of the family's 1533-position model. The record is from RNAcentral.
UACGUAGGCGGGCUAAUAAGUCAGUGGUGAAAUCUCUCGGCUCAACCGGGAAACUGCCAUUGAUACUGUUAGUCUUGAGUUCGGUUGAGGUAGGCGGAAUGUGUAAUGUAGCGGUGAAAUGCUUAGAUAUUACACAGAACACCAAUUGCGUAGGCAGCUUACUAGACCGACACUGACGCUGAGGCACGAAAGCGUGGGGAGCGAACAGGAUUAGAUACCCUGGUAGUC